CCAGAUGCCCAUCUCACCACAUCUCUAUCUGGAAGGUUUUGCCUGUGGCACAGUGUCCACUUCAUGAGGUUGAGUUGUCUCUGCAGGUUUUCCAUGAGUUCCCUUAGAGGCUCUUCAGGGGAUGGCCAGUACUCUUCAGGGAUGUCCAUUGCUUGCCUCAGCUCUGCUUCUCUUGUCCUCACUGCCUCUUCCUGUCUCUGCUUCCCUUCUGUCAGCAAGUCCCUCAGCUCCUGCAGUGCCUGUUCUGCCUGCUUCUGCUUUCUCUUUGCCCUCUCCACCUGAGACUCCUGUAACGCUGAAAGACUUUUUGAGUCUCCUGUGGCCAUGGCUGCAUAAAAAACAGACACUCAGUUAGCUGACUGUUCUGACCUUAGGAAGUGUCAGCCACAUGGCCAAAAGUGUAAGUAUACUAGUAUGCAAGUCUACAAGGCUUUCUCAUUCCUCAUUUAAUUGUUUUAACAAAAAUUUUUUAACACCCUUUUUUGUGUGCAAGCCAUCAUUGUGGAUAUUUUCAAUGUGGAUUGCCUUUGUGGUUUGCAGGGUGGGUUGCAACUUACUAGACUUAUUUUGACAAUUCCUUUUACAUAGAAUCAAUUGCAUGUAAAACAUUAAGAUGAGAGACGGAGUUUGAAAAUAUGCUUGAGUUUGAGUUUGGUAGCUUGAUUUUUUUUUUUUUUUUUUAAAGAGUGAUGGAACCAACAGAUUAUCUAGUUUCUGUGAAAUCUGUGUUGCCUGGUUUCCUUCCUGUCUCUGUGUCACUUCUUCCUAGGGCAUUUCAUGAUAUUUAUUUGCUUUCCUGCCCUUUUAAAUGUGCUACUAACCUGGUUUAUGCUUGUCACUCCCUUCUUACUCUUAAUUUUCCCUAGUUAAUAUCAUCUUUCUGUUACAUUAAUAGCUGUCUCUCUGUUGAUGCCACCUUCAUCUGUGUCUGUAGACUCAAAUGCUCCCCUGUAUUUAAUGUUUUAUUAAUGUUAUGUUUUUCCCCUCACUACCUUCAGUAUAUAUCCUUGACCAGCAGAUGAGAUGAGAUUUUACAUGUUUCAAUUUCAUACGUUAUUCAAUUUCCCUUCCUCCUGUAAUUCUUGUCCUGCUGAAUGGCACCACCUUACUUCCAGGCCAAUGGGCGUCUUGUUCAUCCUUCUUCUUAACAUGAAUUUAGUACAUAAUAUCUUUUCCAUUUGUCCUCUUAAACCUCUAUUUAAUUUCACUUCUUUUUGACACUCUAUCCGUUCUCCCUUAGAUGUUGCCUUCAUCAUGUCUAUCGGAUUGCUAUAAUAGUCAUUCUAUCUUCUAUGGUUUGAAGGUUUGUCCUCUCCAAAGCUUAUGUUGAAAUUUAAUUGCCAUCUUAAUAGUAUUAAGAGGCAGGAGAGAUGAUUAGUAUUGAGAGGUGAUUAGGCCAUGAGGGCUAUGCCAUCAUGGGUGGGGUUAAUGCUGUUAUGAAAGGUUGAAUUUUGUCCCCUUUUGCCUCUUGUGCUUCUGCCAUGUGAUGACAAAGCAAGAAGGUCCUUGCAAGAUGCUGACACCUUGACCUUGGACUUCCCAGCCUCCAGAGCUUUGAGCCAUAAAUUUGUUUAUUGUUAGUUACCAUGUCUCAAGUGCUCUGCUAUAGCAACACAAAACAGAGUAAAACACCAUCUUGCAGUCAUUUUUGUCUUGCGCAUUUCUUCUUCCUCAAUGUCUCUACAAU
Molecule: long non-coding RNA, 1687 nt
Filed under: Homo sapiens (human)
Lineage: Eukaryota; Metazoa; Chordata; Mammalia; Primates; Hominidae
Description: HSALNT0361184
Source: RNAcentral